RNAcentral lists this ribosomal RNA (466 nucleotides) under uncultured bacterium. Its description in RNAcentral is "partial 16S ribosomal RNA". It matches the Rfam family "Bacterial small subunit ribosomal RNA", at positions 28 to 507 of the family's 1533-position model. The record is from RNAcentral.
GAUGAACGCUGGCGGCGUGCUUAACACAUGCAAGUCGAACGAUGAAGCCCAGCUUGCUGGGUGGAUUAGUGGCGAACGGGUGAGUAACACGUGAGUAACCUGCCCUUAACUCUGGGAUAAGCCUGGGAAACUGGGUCUAAUACCGGAUAGGAGCGUCCACCGCAUGGUGGGUGUUGGAAAGAUUUAUCGGUUUUGGAUGGACUCGCGGCCUAUCAGCUUGUUGGUGAGGUAAUGGCUCACCAAGGCGACGACGGGUAGCCGGCCUGAGAGGGUGACCGGCCACACUGGGACUGAGACACGGCCCAGACUCCUACGGGAGGCAGCAGUGGGGAAUAUUGCACAAUGGGCGCAAGCCUGAUGCAGCGACGCCGCGUGAGGGAAGACGGCCUUCGGGUUGUAAACCUCUUUCAGUAGGGAAGAAGCGAAAGUGACGGUACCUGCAGAAGAAGCACCGGCUAACUACGUG